Molecule: ribosomal RNA, 430 nt
Filed under: uncultured bacterium
Lineage: Bacteria
Description: partial 16S ribosomal RNA
Rfam family: Bacterial small subunit ribosomal RNA
Source: RNAcentral
UGGGGAAUUUUGGACAAUGGGCGAAAGCCUGAUCCAGCAAUGCCGCGUGUGUGAAGAAGGCCUUCGGGUUGUAAAGCACUUUUGUCCGGAAAGAAAUCCUUGGCUCUAAUACAGUCGGGGGAUGACGGUACCGGAAGAAUAAGCACCGGCUAACUACGUGCCAGCAGCCGCGGUAAUACGUAGGGUGCAAGCGUUAAUCGGAAUUACUGGGCGUAAAGCGUGCGCAGGCGGUUUGCUAAGACCGAUGUGAAAUCCCCGGGCUCAACCUGGGAACUGCAUUGGUGACUGGCAGGCUAGAGUAUGGCAGAGGGGGGUAGGAAUUCCACGUGUAGCAGUGAAAUGCGUAGAGAUGUGGAGGAAUACCGAUGGCGAAGGCCAGCCCCUGGGCAAUACUGACGCUCAUGCACGAAAGCGUGGGGAGCAAACAGGA